RNAcentral lists this ribosomal RNA (503 nucleotides) under uncultured bacterium. RNAcentral describes it as "partial 16S ribosomal RNA". It matches the Rfam family "Bacterial small subunit ribosomal RNA", at positions 30 to 523 of the family's 1533-position model. The record is from RNAcentral.
AUUGAACGCUGGCGGCAGGCUUAACACAUGCAAGUCGAGCGGGGUGAUGGUGCUUGCACUAUCACUUAGCGGCGGACGGGUGAGUAAUGCUUAGGAAUCUGCCUAUUAGUGGGGGACAACAUCUCGAAAGGGAUGCUAAUACCGCAUACGUCCUACGGGAGAAAGCAGGGGAUCACUUGUGACCUUGCGCUAAUAGAUGAGCCUAAGUCGGAUUAGCUAGUUGGUGGGGUAAAGGCCUACCAAGGCGACGAUCUGUAGCGGGUCUGAGAGGAUGGUCCCGCACACUGGGACUGAGACACGGCCCAGACUCCUACGGGAGGCAGCAGUGGGGAAUAUUGGACAAUGGGGGGAACCCUGAUCCAGCCAUGCCGCGUGUGUGAAGAAGGCCUUAUGGUUGUAAAGCACUUUAAGCGAGGAGGAGGCUCUUUUGGUUAAUACCCAAGAUGAGUGGACGUUACUCGCAGAAUAAGCACCGGCUAACUCUGUGCCAGCAGCCGCGGUAA